Molecule: non-coding RNA, 31 nt
Filed under: Mus musculus (house mouse)
Lineage: Eukaryota; Metazoa; Chordata; Mammalia; Rodentia; Muridae
Source: RNAcentral
UAGAUGAUGUAAGGGCAUUAAGGGAAUGCAC